GCGUGCAACCCGCCCACCAUGAAGUUGGAGUUGCUAGUAAUCGCGGAUCAGCAUGCCGCGGUGAAUACGUUCCCGGGCCUUGUACACACCGCCCGUCACACCAUGGGAGUUGGGAGCGCCCGAAGCCGGUGAGGUAACCGAGAGGAGCCAGCCGUCGAAGGUGAGACCAAUGACUGGGGUGAAGUCGUAACAAGGUAUC
RNAcentral lists this ribosomal RNA (199 nucleotides) under uncultured bacterium. RNAcentral's name for it is "partial 16S ribosomal RNA". It matches the Rfam family "Bacterial small subunit ribosomal RNA", at positions 1304 to 1500 of the family's 1533-position model. The record is from RNAcentral.